GGCGGCGUGCCUAACACAUGCAAGUCGAACGAGAAAGUUCGGGUGUAGCAAUACAUCCGGAUGAGUAAAGUGGCGAACGGGUGAGUAACACGUAGCUAACCUGCCCUUGAGCGGGGGAUAACCUGGGGAAACUCGGGCUAAUACCGCAUAACAUCACGAUCACUUAAGUGGAUGGGAUCAAAGGCCCGCAAGGGCCACUCGAGGAGGGGGCUGCGGCCGAUUAGCUAGUUGGCGGGGUAAUGGCCCACCAAGGCGAUGAUCGGUAGCCGGCCUGAGAGGGCGCACGGCCACACUGGCACUGAAACACGGGCCAGACUCCUACGGGAGGCAGCAGUGGGGAAUUUUGCACAAUGCCCGAAAGGGUGAUGCAGCAACGCCGCGUGAGGGAUGAAGGCCUUCGGGUCGUAAACCUCUUUCGACCGGGAAAAACGGGCGGGUGAAUAAUCCGUUCUGAUGGUACCGGUGGAAGAAGCCCCGGCUAACUACGUGCCAGCAGCCGCGGUAAUACGUAGGGGGCGAGCGUUGUUCGGAAUUACUGGGCGUAAA
This 546-nucleotide ribosomal RNA is filed under the name uncultured bacterium. RNAcentral describes it as "bacterial SSU rRNA". It matches the Rfam family "Bacterial small subunit ribosomal RNA", at positions 38 to 564 of the family's 1533-position model. The record is from RNAcentral.